GGAGAUAUAUCUCAGUGGUAGAGUGCUUACCUAACCUUUUGGGGAAGCCCUGGGUUCAAUUCUCAGUAUAGCCU
This 74-nucleotide transfer RNA is filed under the name Urocitellus parryii (Arctic ground squirrel). RNAcentral's name for it is "Spermophilus parryii (Arctic ground squirrel) tRNA". It matches the Rfam family "tRNA". From Rfam's summary of the family: Transfer RNA (tRNA) molecules are approximately 80 nucleotides in length. RNAcentral also lists the same sequence under 2 other names. Lineage: Eukaryota; Metazoa; Chordata; Mammalia; Rodentia; Sciuridae. The record is from Rfam by way of RNAcentral.